This 1534-nucleotide ribosomal RNA is filed under the name Streptomyces palmae. RNAcentral's name for it is "partial 23S ribosomal RNA". It matches the Rfam family "Bacterial large subunit ribosomal RNA", at positions 1403 to 2925 of the family's 2925-position model. Lineage: Bacteria; Bacillati; Actinomycetota; Actinomycetes; Kitasatosporales; Streptomycetaceae. The record is from RNAcentral.
GGAGUGGUGGAGCCGACGAACCAGACUUGUAGUAGGUGAGUGAUGGGGUGACGCAGGAAGGUAGUCCAGCCCGGGCGGUGGUUGUCCCGGGGUAAGGGUGUAGGCCGUGUGGUAGGCAAAUCCGUCACACGUUAAGGCUGAGACCUGAUGCCGAGCCGAUUGUGGUGAAGUGGAUGAUCCUAUGCUGUCGAGAAAAGCCUCUAGCGAGUUUCAUGGCGGCCCGUACCCUAAACCGACUCAGGUGGUCAGGUAGAGAAUACCGAGGCGUUCGGGUGAACUAUGGUUAAGGAACUCGGCAAAAUGCCCCCGUAACUUCGGGAGAAGGGGGGCCAUUUCUGGUGAUCGGAUUUACUCCGUGAGCUGGGGGUGGCCGCAGAGACCAGCGAGAAGCGACUGUUUACUAAAAACACAGGUCCGUGCGAAGCCGUAAGGCGAUGUAUACGGACUGACGCCUGCCCGGUGCUGGAACGUUAAGGGGACCGGUUAGCUCUGAUUCGUCGGGGCGAAGCUGAGAACUUAAGCGCCAGUAAACGGCGGUGGUAACUAUAACCAUCCUAAGGUAGCGAAAUUCCUUGUCGGGUAAGUUCCGACCUGCACGAAUGGCGUAACGACUUCUCGACUGUCUCAACCAUAGGCCCGGUGAAAUUGCAUUACGAGUAAAGAUGCUCGUUUCGCGCAGCAGGACGGAAAGACCCCGGGACCUUUACUAUAGCUUGAUAUUGGUGUUCGGUUCGGCUUGUGUAGGAUAGGUGGGAGACUGUGAAGCAUGCACGCCAGUGUGUGUGGAGUCGUCGUUGAAAUACCACUCUGGUCGUGCUGGAUGUCUAACCUGGGUCCGUGAUCCGGAUCAGGGACAGUGUCUGGUGGGUAGUUUAACUGGGGCGGUUGCCUCCUAAAGGGUAACGGAGGCGCCCAAAGGUUCCCUCAGCCUGGUUGGCAAUCAGGUGUUGAGUGUAAGUGCACAAGGGAGCUUGACUGUGAGACCGACGGGUCGAGCAGGGACGAAAGUCGGGACUAGUGAUCCGGCGGUGGCUUGUGGAAGCGCCGUCGCUCAACGGAUAAAAGGUACCCCGGGGAUAACAGGCUGAUCUUCCCCAAGAGUCCAUAUCGACGGGAUGGUUUGGCACCUCGAUGUCGGCUCGUCGCAUCCUGGGGCUGGAGUCGGUCCCAAGGGUUGGGCUGUUCGCCCAUUAAAGCGGUACGCGAGCUGGGUUUAGAACGUCGUGAGACAGUUCGGUCCCUAUCCGCUGUGCGCGUAGGAGUCUUGAGAAGGGCUGUCCCUAGUACGAGAGGACCGGGACGGACGAACCUCUGGUGUGCCAGUUGUUCUGCCAAGGGCAUGGCUGGUUGGCUACGUUCGGGAGGGAUAACCGCUGAAAGCAUCUAAGCGGGAAGCCUGCUUCGAGAUGAGGGCUCCCACCCACUUGAUGGGGUAAGGCUCCCAGUAGACGACUGGGUUGAUAGGCCAGAUAUGGAAGCCGGGUAACCGGUGGAGUUGACUGGUACUAAUAGGCCGAGGGCUUGUCCUCAGUUG